UUUUACCAGAGUCAGUUAUGGAGAAUGGUUAUCUCCUUUAGAAACUGGGCUUUUCUGAGUUUGUUUUAACAUUUCUUUUGAAUCUGGGUGCAUUUUUUUCCUAAAAUCCCUGAUCCUGGUGUGGAGGGGCUGUCCCUACCUCUGUGUCCGUGCUGUAGAGCUGUCGGUGUGCUCAGGGACAAGGGCAGGAGGAACCUUUCAGAUUUCAGCUGCCCCCAAGGAGUGAACCACACAUACGCAGAUAGGUCCUGCCCCAAGGAAAGGGAGGCUAGAGUGACCGUCAGCUAUCUUGAUAUCUUUUGGACAUCUUGGGUGGCAUCACCUCCAUCCCAAUAUGUGUCCGCCUUCAGUAGCGUUCUUGCAAAGUGUCCCGUCCUUCAGCAGCUGGAAAUAAAAAGGAAGGAUACUGCUUUGCAUACUUUUCCUUGAAGUUUAUUAAUGCUUUGAAGAUGUUUUCCAGCUUGUUUCCUGAAGUGUGGAGAAUUCCAGCUUCUCUUGCAGGAACAACAAAAGCCACGAUCUGGGGUCUGUCUCUGCUGGAGGGUUUCGGAUGCUGACCUGGAAUAUACAUCAACGUACGCAGGCACCCUAACAGCGACUGUUGGAUUGUAUUCAGGAGACCUUAUCUGCCAUGCUGCUGAAUCUGUUGGAGUCUGGGAGGGAGAGCCUGCAUUUUCCUUGGGCUCCUGCUAAUUCUGCCUCAAAGAACACGAAGUGCCAGCAUGUCAGAAUGACUGCACCCAAAUGACUUCCCAGCUGAGAUUUUUAACUAGUAGCUGCCUACUGAUUGCAAUCAAGCCUAGAAAAGUGGCUUGGUCUGCCAGCAUCUUCCUUCGCUGUUUGAAACAAAUCCCUUGAGCACUUGAACAGUCUGGCAUACUGUCUGUUCCUGCUCUACUCCUUUUCUAAUGCUGCUAAUACCAGGUGAAUAUUGUUGCUUUCUGCCAGCCACAGUUCUGCCCCUUUGCUGCCUCUGGUAAUUUAUAAAAGCAAAAAAGCCAAGCUUCAGUAUCUCCUUGGUGAGAUAGGGUGAAGUAGCAUUUUUUUCUUGAUCUCGGCUUUAAUCUUGUCUUUGCUUCAUUUAAGGAAGGAAGUUUGGUGGUGUUUUUUGUUUUUUUUUUUUUUUUCUUCUCACUUUGGAGUCAGGUUAUGUGCAAUCCUCUGUCUUCUGCAUCUGUUCUCAUUCUGCCUGUGGGGGGCUCCCACUCUUCCUCUCUGCUGCUUGCGCUCCCUGAGCAUGUGCAGGUCACUCACUGGCUGCCCUUGUGGCUCCCUCACCCAUCAUUUCACAUCCUCCCUGUGUUGUCCAAGAAAUCCAGAGAAAGGCACUCUCUCCCACCGGAGGGCAGCUUCCCCAGAAGCUGUGAUCCUGCAGAUCCUGUGAUGCUAUCGGCUGCAUUUACAAAAGGGACAUUCAGUUGGUGUUCUCUGCUCUGUCAGUGAAAAACAAAAUUAUGUUGAAAGAAGUCUUCCGUUAGAUUCAGUGGGAGUCUGAGACACUUGGACGCAGUGAGGUAGCGAGAGAAAGCUGUGGGACAUGUUCAGCUGGAUGGAACCAAUUGCUGGAGAGACUGGAAGGACGUGGCAUGCGAGCAAACAGCCCUGAACCGGCUCACUUUCUCCCGUACUUCAUUUUUUACAUUGUUGCAGAGGC
Long non-coding RNA from Hirundo rustica (Barn swallow), 1654 nucleotides. RefSeq lists it as uncharacterized. The record is from RefSeq and is a predicted model, not a curated record. Lineage: Eukaryota; Metazoa; Chordata; Aves; Passeriformes; Hirundinidae. The transcript is spliced from 7 exons.